RNAcentral lists this ribosomal RNA (220 nucleotides) under Escherichia coli. RNAcentral's name for it is "partial 23S ribosomal RNA". It matches the Rfam family "Bacterial large subunit ribosomal RNA", at positions 138 to 393 of the family's 2925-position model. Lineage: Bacteria; Pseudomonadati; Pseudomonadota; Gammaproteobacteria; Enterobacterales; Enterobacteriaceae. The record is from RNAcentral.
UUUCGACACACUAUCAUUAACUGAAUCCAUAGGUUAAUGAGGCGAACCGGGGGAACUGAAACAUCUAAGUACCCCGAGGAAAAGAAAUCAACCGAGAUUCCCCCAGUAGCGGCGAGCGAACGGGGAGCAGCCCAGAGCCUGAAUCAGUGUGUGUGUUAGUGGAAGCGUCUGGAAAGGCGCGCGAUACAGGGUGACAGCCCCGUACACAAAAAUGCACAUA